This 433-nucleotide ribosomal RNA is filed under the name uncultured bacterium. RNAcentral's name for it is "bacterial SSU rRNA". It matches the Rfam family "Bacterial small subunit ribosomal RNA", at positions 355 to 786 of the family's 1533-position model. The record is from RNAcentral.
UGAGGAAUAUUGGUCAAUGGGCGAGAGCCUGAACCAGCCAAGUCGCGUGAGGGAAGAAUGGUCUAUGGCCUGUAAACCUCUUUUGUCAGGGAAGAAUAAGGAUGACGAGUCAUUCGAUGCCAGUACUUGACGAAUAAGCAUCGGCUAACUCCGUGCCAGCAGCCGCGGUAAUACGGGGAGUGCGAGCGUUAUCCGGAUUUAUUGGGUUUAAAGGGCGCGUAGGCGGGACGUCAAGUCAGCGGUAAAAGACUGCAGCUAAACUGUAGCACGCCGUUGAAACUGGCGCCCUGGAGACGAGACGAGGGAGGCGGAACAAGUGAAGUAGCGGUGAAAUGCAUAGAUAUCACUUGGAACCCCGAUAGCGAAGGCAGCUUCCCAGGCUCGUUCUGACGCUGAUGCGCGAGAGCGUGGGUAGCGAACAGGAUUAGAUACC